RNAcentral lists this ribosomal RNA (774 nucleotides) under uncultured Neocallimastigales. RNAcentral's name for it is "partial large subunit ribosomal RNA". It matches the Rfam family "Eukaryotic large subunit ribosomal RNA", at positions 24 to 616 of the family's 3401-position model. The record is from RNAcentral. Lineage: Eukaryota; Fungi; Neocallimastigomycota; Neocallimastigomycetes; Neocallimastigales.
GUAGUCUCGCACAGAUGCAUAUCAAUAAGCGGAGGAAAAGAAACUAACAAGGAUUCCCUUAGUAACGGCGAGUGAAGCGGGAAGAGCUCAAAUUUGAAAUCUUCAAGGUUUUACCUUGACGAAUUGUAGUUUAAAGAAGUGUUUUCUGUUGAAGUUUUGGUAAAAGUUCUUUGGAAUAGGACAUCAUAGAGGGUGAGAAUCCCGUAUUUGACCAUUAUCUUCAGCUGUGUGAUACACUUUCAAAGAGUCGGAUUGUUUGGGAAUGCAGUCCAAAAUGGGUGGUAAAUUUCAUCUAAAGCUAAAUAUUGGCGAGAGACCGAUAGCGAACAAGUACCGUGAGGGAAAGAUGAAAAGAACUUUGAAAAGAGAGUUAAACAGUACGUGAAAUUGUCAAAAGGGAAGCGUUUGACACCAGUGUUGUUUUCUCGAAAAUCAAUUAAAAAGAGUUUGAUUUUGUUGUGUAUUGACCUUAACAGCUUGCAUUUCAAUUUUCUUGCUUUUUUUAAUGCACUUUUCGUUUAACAAGUCAACAUCAGUUUCUUUUGUUGUAAAAAGGUCAUUGGAAGGUGGCUUUCUUUUCGGAGAAAGUGUUUAUAGCCUUUGACUCCUGCAAUCGGAGAGACUGAGGUCUGCAGCGUAGAUCCUUCGGGGUUAGAUACAUUUGUGCUAAGUUAUAGCUUUUUAUAGACAACUUGUUGACUAUGAUUAGUCUUGUAGCUUACUCGCUUAUGCUAUUUUACCUACGCUUAGGAUGUUGAGCGCAUGUCUCUCUCU